Daphnia pulicaria is the source of this 581-nucleotide long non-coding RNA. RefSeq lists it as uncharacterized. Lineage: Eukaryota; Metazoa; Arthropoda; Branchiopoda; Diplostraca; Daphniidae. The record is from RefSeq and is a predicted model, not a curated record. The transcript has 3 exons.
AAACUCGAUUGUAAAAUCAUGGUUCUGGAACAGUUUUACUUCUCGUUCGUUUUGAUGUGCUUUCAACUGCUGAGGAGCGACAUAAAUGUGAUGGGCGAAAGAAGGUGGACACGACAGAGAAGAAUAAGCGCUGGAAAGAGAUUUACGGAAUACAUACCCUCUUAUUAUAUCGAACUCCUUAAGCACAAGAUCUGGAAACACAAAGGUUAUUAAUUUCGUUUUUUUGGUCAAUGGAUAAUUGAGACCCGGAGAGACGUUACCAAUGACUUGUGGAGUUUAUUACUAAUAUCGUCAAGAAUAUCCAUUUAUUUAAUAGUGGGCGAGUGUAAAAUUUAACUUGUUAUGCAGUAAUUGAGGAGUGGUAGCGCGUAAAGUGACACCUAAUAAUAGAAGAUAUUCGUACUUCCAGACAAAUGUCAUCCGUCGUCUGGUUUAUUCUCUUUACUUUGUGGGUGAUGGAGAAAGAGCUAAAAUAUUCAAAAUUAAAUUUUGAGUUCAACCUGCAGACGGGCCGGCCAGUUUGCAUGUCCUUCACUCUUGAACGUCGCGGGUAACAUUACGUAAAACUGUCAAUGCGGCGG